RNAcentral lists this transfer RNA (84 nucleotides) under Nitrospirota bacterium. RNAcentral's name for it is "Nitrospirae bacterium (sediment metagenome) tRNA-Leu". It matches the Rfam family "tRNA". From Rfam's summary of the family: Transfer RNA (tRNA) molecules are approximately 80 nucleotides in length. Their secondary structure includes four short double-helical elements and three loops (D, anti-codon, and T loops). Further hydrogen bonds mediate the characteristic L-shaped molecular structure. tRNAs have two regions of fundamental functional importance: the anti-codon, which is responsible for specific mRNA codon recognition, and the 3' end, to which the tRNAs corresponding amino acid is attached (by aminoacyl-tRNA synthetases). tRNAs cope with the degeneracy of the genetic code in two manners: having more than one tRNA (with a specific anti-codon) for a particular amino acid; and 'wobble' base-pairing, i.e. permitting non-standard base-pairing at the 3rd anti-codon position. Lineage: Bacteria; Pseudomonadati; Nitrospirota. RNAcentral also lists the same sequence under 1 other name. The record is from RNAcentral.
GCCGGUGUGGUGGAAUUGGCAGACGCGACGGACUCAAAAUCCGUUGAAGGCAACUUCGUGGGGGUUCGACUCCCCCCACCGGCA